UUAAAAACACAUUACAGAAUUGAAAGGGACUUCACCCUUAGCCAUCCCUCUCAAAAGGAACUUCACCUCAGAACCUCCAUCAACCUCCGACUCUGCCAUCGUCCCGCCGUCAACCUCCGCAGUAGAACCUCCAACUCUAUAACAGCUACGGUCGUCAAAAACCACCUCCUUCUACAGCAGCCAACAACAACCACCAUCCCACCGUCAACAAAAUCAUUCCAGCUCUUCGACUAGUUCUGAGAUUUGAUUUUCUUUUUUCUUCACCCAUAAACUUUAUCUCCACCACUAGAAACAACCACCUCUUUCUAUUAAUCCAAGCUCCGCAUUUUCAAAUAGUCCCAAAAUUCUAGGAUUUUUUCUCUACUAAGCUCGACUACCACUUCUUGUUCUCACAGAGCCCUAAUUCUAGGUUUUUGCUUGACUCUCGCGAAUUUUCUGAUUUACAUUCUUCUUUUAUUUUUUUGCAAUUUCUCAAUAGUUGAUCCAUAAUUUGCAAAUUUCAUUAGUGAGGAAGAAAUUACAACUGGUAGUUGUAGGAUAAAUCGCAGUAAGUUUUUUUAAACUCUCUUUAUUUAAAUUUUAGAUAACCACAUUCGAUAGUUGUGUUUUUGAAUGAAGAUUUUAGUAUUAAUGUUCGUUAUUAUCCGAUUCAACUUAUUUUUAUUUUUGGGAGUAUUUGAGCGACAUAAUGUGAUUGAAUGGAGAUUAAACACACUGGUGCAUGUCUUCUUAUUAUGAUUGAAAUUGUGGAUUUCAUUGAAAUUAUGCUUUGCAUUGGUACAAUUGAUAGGUUUUGAUUCUAUAUUUUGUUAGAUAUUUCACUGUUUGAUGCAGUUGUCUUUAUUUAAAAAAAUUUCUUGUUCAACUUAUUAAACUCACAGCUUUAAAGCUGUGAGUUUUUUCUUCUGAAGCUAUUAAUAUAAGUUAGAGUUCAAUUAGGAUUUUGUCAUACAAUAAUUCCUCCCUUUUUGUUCUUGAUAUUAUGAGGAAAACAGGAAAUUUCAUCAAUAUUUAUGUUCAUAUCCUUAAAAUUCAUUUCAGAAAUAAUACACAAAUCAUAUUUUUUGUAUUGUGCAGAGAACUGCUUUGGCAGACUUGCGAGUCCCGUAACUCAGCUAUAUUUUCUGUAUAACCUUAGCUUUUGGUGGUUUAUUGGAGCUUGAACAUCCAAGUUUGUGCAGGUACAAUUUGUUUUGCUAUGUGAAAAUAACUUAAUUUUCGAUAGUAUGAAAAUGGCUAGUGAUAUUUUAUUUGUGGCCAAUUUCUAAUUAGAUAUUCCUCUGGGAAUCUUCUUUUUGUGUCUAUAGAGGUAUGUUCUUUAUUAUUUCCUUGGUAUUUAACAAUCUUUGAUAUUUUGUGGAGCUUCUGUUUGUGUUCUUUAUUUUAUCCUUGUUGAUUUUUCAAUUAGGUCCAGUCCAAUCGAAUGGAGUUAUUUGUUGUUUCAUUGGUAUUUAACAAUCCUUGUUGUUUGUGUCUAUAGAAGUAGUUAUUUGUGUUUAAAAAUUUCCAUAUGGAAAUCAAAUUGUAGCAGAAUUGUCGCACGAAACUGCUAUUCAUAAGAGACAAAAAGUACAUGUAAAUAUAAAUAGAAAAUCAAUUGCAUCAGACAUAUAUGGAUUCCACCAUAUUAAUAGACCUAAAAUAAUAUUUACAAACUUAUUUUCAGUAUGCAUUUUCUCAUAAAACUCCAGUACCUUAUUACUUGUUUUUUCACAAUGAAUUGCGUCUUCCUGGUAGGGACAAUUCCACUCAGUUCCUAGAUGCAUUUUCAAAUUGCAAGUCAGAUUCCACUAAGUUUUAUCCUCAAGGCCUCAAAGUCAGAAUUUCUUCUCCUCCUUCCUUGUGUUGUCGCCUCUACCACUUCUAUCUUUCUCCCAAAGUCAGAAUAGUCUAGUAAUUUUUACACUUUGCCUAUAUUCAAUUUUAAGAGAACUAGACUUGUUACUUAUUCAUAAUUCAGACAAAAUAUUUAUCCUGAGUAAUGCUAUAAAGACUCAACUUUUCUUGUUUACAUGAACUUAAUUUCCUUCUCUUUUCCCCCCUAACCUGCUUUUAUUGAAGUCUCAAUAAACAAAUCUCAUAGCUCACAUAGGCCAAAUAGCUGAGCACAAGAACAGCUAGGAAAAGAGAGGCAAAAUUCUGAAAAUGAUUGAAGUUCCAUUUACACUUAUACUGCUAUUGUUAUACAAGUAAAGAAAAUCCUCAAUAACCUUCUCAACAUAUACAGCUGUGUAUAUCCACAACAUACUAAUUGAUACUAAAUAUUUAUAGUGAUAUCACCAAAUUCAACAUGAUUCACAAAUCAGAAGUAUGGGGACAACAUCAAAAACUCUUAAAUUAUUAAUUCUCUAAUCUCCAAGAACUAUUGACACGAUAUCUUAGACCGAAUUCUCUUGAAGAGUAAUGACUUUAUUUAUCUUAUUUUGCAGGUGGAGUGGAUCACGAAAUGGAAGAUGAUGGCAAUGAAGAACUAGACCUUACUUGAGAUGAAUUUUGAAUUGCUAUGAUGAAAGUUCUAGGAAUCUUUUGUUAUCAACAUUUUGAAACUUACUCUCUAGAAAUGUAUUAAACUUAUGCACUUGGGGUAACGUUUGCUUUAUGAAUAUUAUUAGCUUGAUGGAUUAUUUAUAUGAUUA
RNAcentral lists this long non-coding RNA (2636 nucleotides) under Nicotiana tabacum (common tobacco). RNAcentral describes it as "long non-coding RNA (NTAB_LNC007514)". The record is from RNAcentral. Lineage: Eukaryota; Viridiplantae; Streptophyta; Magnoliopsida; Solanales; Solanaceae.